RNAcentral lists this transfer RNA (92 nucleotides) under Felis catus (domestic cat). It matches the Rfam family "tRNA". Rfam says of the family: Transfer RNA (tRNA) molecules are approximately 80 nucleotides in length. Their secondary structure includes four short double-helical elements and three loops (D, anti-codon, and T loops). Lineage: Eukaryota; Metazoa; Chordata; Mammalia; Carnivora; Felidae. The record is from Rfam by way of RNAcentral.
GCCUGGGUGGCUCAGUCGGUUGAGCGUCCGACUCUUGAUUUUGGCUCAGAUCAUCAUCUCCUGGUUCGUGGGUUCGAGCCCUGCUUCGGGCU